This 783-nucleotide ribosomal RNA is filed under the name Campylobacter coli. RNAcentral's name for it is "partial 23S ribosomal RNA". It matches the Rfam family "Bacterial large subunit ribosomal RNA", at positions 1 to 798 of the family's 2925-position model. Lineage: Bacteria; Pseudomonadati; Campylobacterota; Epsilonproteobacteria; Campylobacterales; Campylobacteraceae. The record is from RNAcentral.
AAAAAAGGUAAGCUACUAAGAGCGAAUGGUGGAUGCCUUGACUGGUAAAGGCGAUGAAGGACGUACUAGACUGCGAUAAGCUACGGGGAGCUGUCAAGAAGCUUUGAUCCGUAGAUUUCCGAAUGGGGCAACCCAAUGUAUAGAGAUAUACAUUACCUAUAUAGGAGCGAACGAGGGGAAUUGAAACAUCUUAGUACCCUCAGGAAAAGAAAUCAAUAGAGAUUGCGUCAGUAGCGGCGAGCGAAAGCGCAAGAGGGCAAACCCAGUGCUUGCACUGGGGGUUGUAGGACUGCAAUGUGCAAGAGGUGAGUUUAGCAGAACAUUCUGGAAAGUAUAGCCAUAGAGGGUGAUAGUCCCGUAUGCGAAAAACAAACCUUAGCUAGCAGUAUCCUGAGUAGGGCGGGACACGAGAAAUCCUGUCUGAAGCUGGGUCGACCACGAUCCAACCCUAAAUACUAAUACCAGAUCGAUAGUGCACAAGUACCGUGAGGGAAAGGUGAAAAGAACUGAGGUGAUCAGAGUGAAAUAGAACCUGAAACCAUUUGCUUACAAUCAUUCAGAGCACUAUGUAGCAAUACAGUGUGAUGGACUGCCUUUUGCAUAAUGAGCCUGCGAGUUGUGGUGUCUGGCAAGGUUAAGCAAACGCGAAGCCGUAGCGAAAGCGAGUCUGAAUAGGGCGCUUAGUCAGAUGCUGCAGACCCGAAACGAAGUGAUCUAUCCAUGAGCAAGUUGAAGCUAGUGUAAGAACUAGUGGAGGACUGAACCCAUAGGCGUUGAAAAGCC